Molecule: ribosomal RNA, 537 nt
Filed under: uncultured bacterium
Lineage: Bacteria
Description: bacterial SSU rRNA
Rfam family: Bacterial small subunit ribosomal RNA
Source: RNAcentral
AAUAGAUACCCUGGUAGUCCACGCCCUAAACGAUGGAUGCUAGGUUUGCGGGGUAUCGACCCCCUGUGAGCCGUAGGUAACCCGUUAAGCAUCCCGCCUGGGGACUACGACCGCAAGGUUAAAACUCAAAGGAAUUGACGGGGGCCCGCACAAGCAGCGGAGCGUGUGGUUUAAUUCGAUGCUAAGCGAAGAACCUUACCAGGGCUUGACAUGUAAGUGGUACUGAACCGAAAGGCAAGGGACCCGCAAGGGAGCUUACACAGGUGCUGCAUGGUUGUCGUCAGCUCGUGCCGUGAGGUGUUGGGUUAAGUCCCGCAACGAGCGCAACCCUUGUCGCUAGUUAAAUUCUCUAGCGAGACUGCCCCUAAAAGGGAGGAAGGAGGGGAUGAUGUCAAAUCAUCAUGGCUCUUACGUCCUGGGGCUACACACACGCUACAAUGGCCAGUACAGACGGUUGCUAAAUCGCGAGAUGGAGCCAAUCCGACAAAGCUGGUCUCAGUUGGGAUUGCAGGCUGAAACCCGCCUGCAUGAACGUGG